GCCAUACCGCGUGGGUGAAGAAGGCCUUCGGGUUGUAAAGCCCUUUUGUUGGGAAAGAAAUCCUAUCGGUUAAUAACCGGUGGGGAUGACGGUACCCAAAGAAUAAGCACCGGCUAACUUCGUGCCAGCAGCCGCGGUAAUACGAAGGGUGCAAGCGUUACUCGGAAUUACUGGGCGUAAAGCGUGCGUAGGUGGUGGUUUAAGUCCGUUGUGAAAGCCCUGGGCUCAACCUGGGAAUUGCAGUGGAUACUGGAUCACUAGAGUGUGGUAGAGGGAUGCGGAAUUUCUGGUGUAGCAGUGAAAUGCGUAGAGAUCAGAAGGAACAUCCGUGGCGAAGGCGGCAUCCUGGGCCAACACUGACACUGAGGCACGAAAGCGUGGGGAGCAAACAGGAUUAGAUACCCUGGUAGUCCACGCCCUAAACGAUGCGAACUGGAUGUUGGGUGCAACUUGGCACCCAGUAUCGAAGCUAACGCGUU
Molecule: ribosomal RNA, 479 nt
Filed under: Pseudoxanthomonas sp.
Lineage: Bacteria; Pseudomonadati; Pseudomonadota; Gammaproteobacteria; Lysobacterales; Lysobacteraceae
Description: bacterial SSU rRNA
Rfam family: Bacterial small subunit ribosomal RNA
Source: RNAcentral